Molecule: long non-coding RNA, 340 nt
Filed under: Ananas comosus (pineapple)
Lineage: Eukaryota; Viridiplantae; Streptophyta; Magnoliopsida; Poales; Bromeliaceae
Description: long non-coding RNA (ACOM_LNC037667)
Source: RNAcentral
UGUAUGCACCGUACCGUAUCGUACCAGUAAGAUAUCGAUACGAUAUAAUUUCUGUGCCGAUGACACAACUUAAAAUAUUUCAUUUUUAAAAUUAGCAAGUAAUUUUUUCAAUGCAGCUCAAAAAGUUUGAUAAAAAUAUAUAGUAAAUAAUUGAUAUAUUUUAUUGUUUAAAAAAAACUAUUUUAUAUUAUUACAUAUCGGCACACAUAUAUUUUCUUAUGACCAGCACAUAUUGAGCCGGUCCGUUACGCAUCGUAUCAUACCAUACUGAUAAAUUUUCGGCAUAAUUCUAUACCACGAUAUUUAAAUACUUAAUUUCUAUUCCAACAAUUUUUUUACA